GCAGAGCAAGUUAGAGAUUCUUAGAGCUUGGUGUUUUAUCAGGUACGAGGGUACAAGGAUGUACCCGAGAGGCAUAACCGCACCCGGAUGGUGCGUUUAUGCCGGUACCGUAAAUUUCAUAUAUGUAAAGUAUCAAGCUCUUAGAAACUCUUAU
This 154-nucleotide non-coding RNA is filed under the name pig gut metagenome. The record is from RNAcentral.